RNAcentral lists this ribosomal RNA (416 nucleotides) under uncultured bacterium. Its description in RNAcentral is "partial 16S ribosomal RNA". It matches the Rfam family "Bacterial small subunit ribosomal RNA", at positions 355 to 762 of the family's 1533-position model. The record is from RNAcentral.
UGGGGAAUUUUGGACAAUGGGCGAAAGCCUGAUCCAGCAAUGCCGCGUGUGUGAAGAAGGCCUUCGGGUUGUAAAGCACUUUUGUCCGGAAAGAAAUCCUUGGCUCUAAUACAGUCGGGGGAUGACGUACCGGAAGAAUAAGCACCGGCUAACUACGUGCCAGCAGCCGCGGUAAUACGUAGGGUGCAAGCGUUAAUCGGAAUUACUGGGCGUAAAGCGUGCGCAGGCGGUUUGCUAAGACCGAUGUGAAAUCCCCGGGCUCAACCUGGGAACUGCAUUGGUGACUGGCAGGCUAGAGUAUGGCAGAGGGGGGUAGAAUUCCACGUNUAGCAGUGAAAGUGCGUAGAGAUGUGGAGGAAUACCGAUGGCGAAGGCAGCCCCCUGGGCCAAAUACUGACGCUCAUGCACGAAAGCGU